RNAcentral lists this non-coding RNA (21 nucleotides) under Caenorhabditis elegans. The record is from RNAcentral. Lineage: Eukaryota; Metazoa; Nematoda; Chromadorea; Rhabditida; Rhabditidae.
UUAAUUACAAGAACAUCGAAC